This 254-nucleotide ribosomal RNA is filed under the name uncultured bacterium. Its description in RNAcentral is "partial 16S ribosomal RNA". It matches the Rfam family "Bacterial small subunit ribosomal RNA", at positions 524 to 776 of the family's 1533-position model. The record is from RNAcentral.
UACGUAGGGGGCGAGCGUUGUCCGGAUUUAUUGGGCGUAAACGGUUUGUAGGUGGUCACGUGAAGUCGGAUGUGAAAUCUCCCGGCUCAACUGGGAGGGGUCAUUCGAUACUGGCGGGCUCGAGGCCGGUAGGGGGAAGCGGAAUUCCCGGUGUAGUGGUGGAAUGCGUAGAUAUCGGGAGGAACACCAGUGGCGAAGGCGGCUUCCUGGACCGGUUCUGACACUGAGGAGCGAAAGCGUGGGGAGCGAGCCGG